UCCGGCUUGUCACCGGCAGUCCCGUCAGAGUGCCGUGCAAAGCACGUAGCAACUGACGGCAAGGGUUGCGCUCGUUAGAGGACUUAACCUAACAUCUCACGACACGAGCUGACGACAGCCAUGCAGCACCUGUAUAAUUGUCUAAGUAAACUUAGAAGAUCGUGUUUCUACGACUGUCAAAAAUAUGUCAAGCCCAGGUAAGGUUUCUCGCGUAGCGUCGAAUUAAACCACAUGUUCCACCGCUUGUGCGGACCCCCGUCAAUUCCUUUGAGUUUUAGUCUUGCGACCGUAAUCCCCAGGUGAAUCACUUAACGCGUUAGCUACGAUACUGAUCCGACUAAGUCAGACCAACAUCUAGUGAUUAUCGUUUACGGCGUGGACUAC
Molecule: unclassified non-coding RNA, 384 nt
Filed under: uncultured bacterium
Lineage: Bacteria
Description: contains 16S-23S intergenic spacer region
Source: RNAcentral